Potamilus streckersoni is the source of this 76-nucleotide non-coding RNA. NCBI's taxonomy places the organism in Eukaryota, Metazoa, Mollusca, Bivalvia, Unionida, Unionidae. The record is from the annotation of a GenBank genome assembly.
UCAGUGGCCUAGUGGUUAGAGCAUCUGCCUGGGAUUCAGGAGGUCGUGGGUUCGAUCCCUGGGAAAGUCGUAUCAA